GAUCCCUUUUUAGGAGCAUUGUGGUCCCUUGGAACCUCGUCUCCCCCACCCAUGGCGUGGCUAUCCUCAAAAGACUCAACCUUGGAGGAGUCUCCCCUCUUAUAAUCCGUUAAAGACUCUGCUACUGCUAUGGCAGUGGCUAAGUCUUGAACACCUCGACGUCUCAAUUCCUACUUAGCCCACCCUUGCAGGUUAUCCAUGAAGUUGAAUAACAACUCCUCCUAAGUCAUGUUAGGAAUCUCAAGCAUGAGUGAAGAGAAUUCCUUGACAUAGUCGCGUAUCGAACCUGUGUGCUUGAGACGCCUCAUGUUUUUCCUAGCCAGGUAAGCCACGUCCUCGGGGUAGAACUGCCUCUUAAUCUCCCUCUUGAAGUCCUCCCACGUCUCUAUGGUGCAAAUGUCUUUCUCCAUAUCGGCAAACCUUCGACGC
Molecule: long non-coding RNA, 429 nt
Filed under: Vitis vinifera (wine grape)
Lineage: Eukaryota; Viridiplantae; Streptophyta; Magnoliopsida; Vitales; Vitaceae
Description: long non-coding RNA (VVIN_LNC002416)
Source: RNAcentral